UGCGAACGGGUGAGUAACGCGUGAGUAACCUGCCUUUCAGUGGGGGACAACAGAGGGAAACUUCUGCUAAUACCGCAUAACGUGCCUUGGGGGCAUCCCUGGGGUACCAAAGAUUUAUUGCUGAAAGAUGGGCUUGCGUCUGAUUAGAUAGUUGGCGGGGUAACGGCCCACCAAGUCGACGAUCAGUAGCCGGUCUGAGAGGAUGAACGGCCACAUUGGGACUGAGAUACGGCCCAGACUCCUACGGAAGGCAGCAG
RNAcentral lists this ribosomal RNA (257 nucleotides) under uncultured bacterium. RNAcentral describes it as "partial 16S ribosomal RNA". It matches the Rfam family "Bacterial small subunit ribosomal RNA", at positions 97 to 354 of the family's 1533-position model. The record is from RNAcentral.